CGGGCUGUGGCGCAGCCUGGUAGCGCACCUGCUUCGGGAGCAGGGGGUCGGAGGUUCGAAUCCUCUCAGCCCGACCA
RNAcentral lists this transfer RNA (77 nucleotides) under Jannaschia helgolandensis. RNAcentral's name for it is "tRNA-Pro". It matches the Rfam family "tRNA". From Rfam's summary of the family: Transfer RNA (tRNA) molecules are approximately 80 nucleotides in length. Their secondary structure includes four short double-helical elements and three loops (D, anti-codon, and T loops). Lineage: Bacteria; Pseudomonadati; Pseudomonadota; Alphaproteobacteria; Rhodobacterales; Roseobacteraceae. RNAcentral also lists the same sequence under 18 other names. The record is from RNAcentral.